RNAcentral lists this non-coding RNA (26 nucleotides) under Rattus norvegicus (Norway rat). Lineage: Eukaryota; Metazoa; Chordata; Mammalia; Rodentia; Muridae. The record is from RNAcentral.
UGGACUUGGCGUGAUCAUUGAAGUGA